UCAUUAGGUAUACUGCAGUAUUCACUGCU
This 29-nucleotide small RNA is filed under the name Bombyx mori (domestic silkworm). Its description in RNAcentral is "ovarian small RNA-3284". Lineage: Eukaryota; Metazoa; Arthropoda; Insecta; Lepidoptera; Bombycidae. The record is from RNAcentral.